GAGAAACAGGUACCCCAAGAUCCACCAACAAACGAGAAAGCCAAGUCAAUUCAGCAACAACUUUGCUGAGGGCUCGAUAUUCUGCCUCAGCAGAAGACAGAAACAACAGGUUGUUUCUUCGAUUUCCAACUAAUCAGGCAACCACCCAAAAGCACACAAUCGUCUAGUAUCAGGGCAUGCAACCCAGUCACUAUCAGAAUAGCCAGUAACAGAGAAAUCAGCAUGGGCAGAAUAAAAUAAACCCAUAGAAGGAGUGCCUUUAAGGUAUCUCAAAACAUGCAAGGCAGCAGUCAUAUGGGGAAGUCUGGGGCACUUGAGGAAUUGACUCAGAUGUUGAACUGCAAAGCAUAUGUCGGGCCUAGUAUGAGUCAGAAACAACACCUUACCAACUAGACUCCUGUACUGGUCAGGAGAGGAUAAAAGGUCACCAGAAGCAUAUGUCAGGCCUAGUAUGAGUCAGAAAUAACAUCUUACCAACUAGACUCCUGUACUGGUCAGGAGAGGAUAAGAGGUCACCAGAAUCAGCAUGAAGUUUUAUAUUAAUGUCCAAAGGAGAAACAACAGAGGAGACAUUUGCACAGUCAAACUGAUGCAGUAAAUCAGAAAUAUACUUAUGCUGAUUAAGGAUCAUUCCACCAGGAACAACUGACAUUUNNNNNNNNNNNNNNNNNNNNNNNNNNNNNNNNNNNNNNNNNNNNNNNNNNNNNNNNNNNNNNNNNNNNNAACAACUGACAUUUCAAGGCCCAAAAAAUAAUGCAAAGAUCCUAAAUCUUUGAUUUUAAACUGAUCAUCCAGAAAUAGUUUCAGGGCAGUAAUUUCAUCACUGUCAUCCCCAGUAAGGAUAAUGUCAUCAACAUAAACUGCCACAACCACAAGGGAGCCAGGUUUACUCUUUGAUGAACAAAGAAUAGUCAUUCCAAGAAUGUUGUACCCUCUGGAAUAAAGAGCAGAAGACAACUUGGAAAACCAUUGUCUGGAUGCUUGUCUUAGCCCAUAUAGGGAUUUCUUGAGUUUACAAACCAGAGGAGAAGUAGUAGAAGAAGGAGGAGAAACAGAACCAGAAAUAGGAGCAGAAAACUGUCAAAACUGGAGGAAGUUUCAUGUAAACUUCCUCAUCCAAAUCUCCAUGGAGAAAAGCAUUAUUGACAUCAAGCUGAAAUAGAGGCCAGUGAUUCUUGACAGCCACAGCAAUAAGGCCGAGAAACAGAACCAGAAAUAGGAACAGAAACUGGAGUAGAAACUGUCAAACUUGGAGGAAGUUUCAUGUAAACUUCCUCAUCCAAAUCUCCAUGGAGAAAGGCAUUAUUGACAUCAAGCUGAAAUAGAGGCCAGUGAUUCUUGACAGCCACAACAAUAAGGCAUUUCACAUUGGUCAUCUUAAUCACAGGAGAAAAGGUGUCAAUAAAAUCAAUCCCUUCAACCUGUGUAUCACCCCUAAUAACAAGCCUUGCUUUUACCUUUCAACAAGACCAUCAGACUUGUAUUUGAUUUUAUAGACCCAUUUACAGCCAAUGGGUUUCUUACCAGGAGGAAGAGGAAUAAUAUCCCAAGUAUGGUUGGCUUCCAAAGCAUCAAACUCCUGCCUCAUUACAUCCUACCAUGCUGGGACAGAUGCAGCUUGAGAGUAAUACAGAGUUUCAGAUUCCAAAGUGGAAGAAGAGGAACCAAAAAAGGCAGGGAGUUGACAGACAUAUUCCUUAAGGUAGGAAGGAGGAUUAUGCUGUCUAGUGGACUUUCUAGGAGUAGGAAGAGGAUGUGAAGGAGGUAACACGGGAGGAGGGAUAUCAUGAUUGAAAGAAGGAAGGGAAGAUGAACCAGCAUCAGGAAAAUCAGGAACAGGAGAAUCAGGGGAAGCAUGUAUAGGAAAAACUGUGUCAGGGAAAUGAUCAUCAGGAGGAAUAGAAGGAAAAGAUGGAGGAGAAGGGUGAGCAGAAGUAGGUUUAUUCUUAAAAGGGAAACAAGUUUCAUGGAAGGCAACAUCCCUGGAGACAAAACACUUCUUGGAAACAAAAUUAUACAGUUUAUAACCCUUCUUGGCAAAGGG
This 2044-nucleotide long non-coding RNA is filed under the name Nicotiana benthamiana. Its description in RNAcentral is "long non-coding RNA (NBEN_LNC025523)". The record is from RNAcentral. Lineage: Eukaryota; Viridiplantae; Streptophyta; Magnoliopsida; Solanales; Solanaceae.